GACGAACGCUGGCGGCGUGCCUAAUACAUGCAAGUCGAACGAGAGCGACCGGUGCUUGCACUGGUCAAUCUAGUGGCGAACGGGUGAGUAACACGUGGGUAACCUGCCCAUCAGAGGGGGAUAACAUUCGGAAACGGAUGCUAAAACCGCAUAGGUCCUUUAACCGCAUGGUUGAAGGAGGAAAAGAGGCGCAAGCUUCUGCUGAUGGAUGGACCCGCGGUGCAUUAGCUAGUUGGUGAGGUAACGGCUCACCAAGGCCGUGAUGCAUAGCCGACCUGAGAGGGUGAUCGGCCACAUUGGGACUGAGACACGGCCCAAACUCCUACGGGAGGCAGCAGUAGGGAAUCUUCCGCAAUGGACGCAAGUCUGACGGAGCAACGCCGCGUGAGUGAAGAAGGUUUUCGGAUCGUAAAACUCUGUUGUUAGAGAAGAACAAGUGCUAGAGUAACUGUUAGCGCCUUGACGGUAUCUAACCAGAAAGCCACGGCUAACUACGUGCCAGCAGCCGCGGUAAUACGUAGGUGGCAAGCGUUGUCCGGAUUUAUUGGGCGUAAAGCGAGCGCAGGCGGUUCCUUAAGUCUGAUGUGAAAGCCCCCGGCUCAACCGGGGAGGGUCAUUGGAAACUGGGGAACUUGAGUGCAAAAGAGGACAGUGGAAUUCCAUGUGUAGCCGUGAAAUGCGUAGAUAUAUGGAGGAACAUCAGUGGAGAAGGCGACUCUCUGGUCUGUAUCUGACACUGAGGCUCGAGAGAGUGGGUAGCAAUAGGAUUAAUACCUUGUAUCCCAGGGCGA
This 791-nucleotide ribosomal RNA is filed under the name uncultured Granulicatella sp. RNAcentral describes it as "bacterial SSU rRNA". It matches the Rfam family "Bacterial small subunit ribosomal RNA", at positions 28 to 803 of the family's 1533-position model. Lineage: Bacteria; Bacillati; Bacillota; Bacilli; Lactobacillales; Carnobacteriaceae. The record is from RNAcentral.